ACUAGAUUUUAAGGGAUAAUACAGCUGAUAUAUUUGAAUAAGUAAAAUGAAUUUUAUCUGUUAUGCAACAGACGUGGGUGACUUGGAGAUAUUCCAACCUGCAUUCAAGAGUAAAUUGGGGCAAUCGACAGUAAAUGAGAAAGAAAAAUGGAUAGUUUUGAAGGAAGGGGCACUUUUCAUAUCUUCUUCCAAAACAAGUGGCUCUCCCUUCUAGCUUGAGAACCAGGUCUUGAUACACCCCAUAAAGCAAUUUGGAGACUAUGGGCUAUGAAAUAAACUGAUUUGACUGUGUAAAUGCUUCUUUUAUAAAAAUGUCAUACAAACUUGUCUUCAUAGAAAAACAAAGAUAUCCGCACAGAACAAAUAUUAUCUCCUAGCCUUGAAAAUUCUGAUGCAAUUUCUAAGGAUCCCAAGACCGAGAAUUGGCAUUAAAGAGCUGUGAGACUUA
This 448-nucleotide unclassified non-coding RNA is filed under the name Hevea brasiliensis (rubber tree). The record is from RNAcentral. Lineage: Eukaryota; Viridiplantae; Streptophyta; Magnoliopsida; Malpighiales; Euphorbiaceae.